UGGGAGUGGGCACAAAGAAUGAAGAACAGGAACCAAAAACUACCAACUUAAUUGUUAUGUGUAUAUAUUUAUAAGGUUUCUGAGAGAUACUAUUCAUUAGCUGAGUCCUUUGUCGUGUUGAAACUGGUUGAUCCUGCCCACUAAUGAGGACAAACCAGUUUGUCUGAUUCCUAGUAGUUCACUCUCAGUAUUGAUUUUCCUUCUAUCACAGGAGAAUUUUGUAGCAAAAGUGUUAAUGUAUGGUAGUGCGUUAGUAGCUGAGGAGGUGUGUCACUUGAAUCGCUGGGACCAAUGUUCCCUCCCUCUCAAUGCACUGGAGACUGGACUGGAACUGAGGCAGUUGGACAUAGUGUCAUUCUUCCUUAGGAACAGAGG
Molecule: long non-coding RNA, 375 nt
Organism: Amphimedon queenslandica
Lineage: Eukaryota; Metazoa; Porifera; Demospongiae; Haplosclerida; Niphatidae
Exons: 3
Source: RefSeq, a predicted model, not a curated record